AAACUCCCUGCUAGAGAGACUAGGAGAUUUGGGGCUGCGGCCGUUUCCUCCGGAGCACCCACGGGACUGUGUGCUGGGGUCCCUCCACCGGCUGUGUCCUUUAUUCUUCUUUCUCACCCAACGAUUUACCUGAACGGUUAUAAAGUGCACGUUAUUUCCCUAAGGUCCUUCUUACUGAUGUGUUGCUCUUCUUCAUGGCUCGUGAAAACUAUUAGAGUCAUCCAAGGUUUGGAGACAGAAAGGAGCACCGCCAAGUGAGGCAGAGCAGUCUCAGAAACAUAGGAAAAUGGUGGGAAGAGAGAUCAGCAACGUUAACUGGGUGUCAAGAAAACAUACCGAGAUUGAAGCCAUCCACUUCUGCAGGAACACCGAAAAGAAAGCUUACAAUCUGAAGGUGUCCGUUCCUACACUGGUCAGACCACUGUCCUUGGGGCAGCUGGGGUCUUUGGGACCCUCCACCGGGCUCGCCGGUCCGUCGGACUUUUGGCUGAGAUCCGUGUCAGACUCCUCCGAAUAGUCGUCUGUUGGCAUCGAGGGCUGAACCCCUGAGGUGCUGCAUGAACUUGAGGUAACCGUUGAAGAUGAGGAGAGAGGAGGAAAAGAAGGGGGCUUCGCUGCCGAAGCCCGGGAGACCACUUGCGGCCAAGACUUCCUGGAGGCGUGGGGGGAAGCGGAGGAGGGGGCGGCGGCCGACGGGGGAGGGGGGCUGUCGUUUGAGUGAGCGGCAGACUGCGAGGUAGAUGCGGUGCUAGGAUCGGGGAAGCAGGCAGAGUGAGGUAAUAAACUAGGGUGCUCUUUGGCGUUUCUUGCUGCUCUCGUGAUUGUUCUGUGUUUGUGCAAGGCCGACUCGAGAUGUUGACUCAGAGCUUCCUCCCCACAGAGCGCGCUCUCGCACGCCAGGCAGUGGUACGAGCCGCCGCCGCCGCCGCCGCCGCCACCGCCGCCGCCGCCGCCACUGCCACCGCCGCCGCCGCCGGUGGGGACGUGAAGCACCAUCUCUUGCAGGUUCACCACAGACUGGCCGAAGAAGCAGAGGGACUUCAGGUGGCUCCUCGCUGCCUCCUCGUCGCUGAAGCCCGCCUGGCACUUGCGGCAGACCAACUUGUACUGCACCUUUGGAACAAUGAAGGGGUCGUAGAGGGAGUCCGCACUUUUGCUUUCUGCUUCUGGCUCUUCAGGGAGUUUCGGCAGGAGGGGGGACACCUCACGGGGGGUGUUUUUCUGUUCUUCUGGUUUGGGGGAUUCUUUGGCAGGGUCUUUGUCUGGGGAAGGAGCCCCGGGGGGGACUGGGGUUUGGCUUGCUUUGGGCUGCUGCUGCUGCACUUUUUGCUGCUGCUGCUGCUGUAGUUGCCGCUGCUGCUGCUGCUGAAUUGCCUCCUGCAGACUCUGCUGGUAUUGCUGGUACUGCUGCAGUAGGGAGCCUGGGGACAGCCCCAUCAGGGCCUGCGACAGUGCAGGGCUGUAGGGGAACAGGCCUUCCAUGCCAUACAUAGGCUGCAGGUACCCGCUCUGCAGGGCGCCAGGGAUCUGGGGAGCAUAAUAAGGAGAAAAGCCUGGUACAAAGUAAGGAAGGAACUGGCUUGUGAGCAAUGCUGUGGGGUCCGAAGUCAACGCGGCCUGCAGGGCCUGCAGCUGUGCAGGGUCUACCGCAUACUCCAUGGUGGGCAGCGGGGCUGAGAUCGUGGCUGCAGUUGCCGUGGGGGCCUCUCCUUUCUCCUUCUUGGGGACAGGCAGGGGUUCCCCUUUCCCUUUGUGUGCCUUUUCCUUCUCCUUUACUUUCUCACUGUCUUUGUCCUUGCGUUGCUGCUGCUGUUGCAGUGGGAGCUGUGGUGUGGGUGGCGGCUGGGCUGCUGGCGGCGGGGGAGGCUGCUGCACCUGUGGUUGCUGCUGCUGCUGCUGCUGCUGGGGGGGUUGCUGAGGGCCCAUCGCCAUCGUGGCUUGUGCUGGGGUUGGGGAGCUCAGCGACGCUGAGGACGGUUUAUUUGGUAAUCCAGAAGUGGGGAGGCCAGGGGAAGGAACAGUUGUGCUGGGCAGACCCAUCAAGUUCGGCUUAGGAGACGUUAAAGCUGAAAGGAAUGGAGACAGAAAUCACCGGUCAGUCUGGGCAGGGGUAGGGCUGAAGCUCAAGACGUUUUACCGGUGUCACUGGCACACAGUUUGAGAUGUCAAGGCUUGAAGGAUCCUCUCAAAACGAACAUUUCCAACAGAAGUAUCCCACCAGGCUCAGGGCUGGACAACCUUGUAUUCUAAUGAGGACUCAGUCCUAGGUCAGCUCCCAUACUUCCCCUUUCAGCCAAACAACUUCCAGAAGUAUCCCACCAGGCUCAGAGCUGGACAACCUUGUAUUCUAAUGAGGACUCAGUCCUAGGUCAGCUCCCAUACUUCCCCUUUCAGCCAAACAACUUCCAGAAGUAUCCCACCAGGCUCAGGGCUGGACAACCUUGUAUUCUAAUGAAGAUUCAGUCCUGGCUAGCUCCCAUACUUCCCCUUCCAGCCAAACAACUUCCAACACCUUCCUGCCCAAUGUGCCACACCCGCUAGUUCACAUUUUCUUUGCCAAGUACUCCCAGCUACCAUUCACUCUGCCCAACUGCAAUUAGUCUAGAGGCCCCAAAGCUAGCUGUUUCUAGCUGGGGCCCAUUUGCACCAAAGGCCUUCAUCACAAAAAUAGUAUGGCCACGAGGUCCCCAGAGAAGUUAUCUGGAGGAGAGCGGCAACAGGAGAAGAGAGAACGAAGGCAAGAAAGCUAGCACGGCCACAUGAACAAAAACAAAACAGGCUCUACAGGUGUUCCUCCUCUCUGACCUCUGUUGCUGCAGCUGACUGGAUGCUUUCGGAGGGUAGAGAGAAGAUGAUGAAUAGGAAAGUGUGGAGGAAGGGCCUGGGAAGAAAUAAGAACAAUCCAUUCAGGGAAAAUUGCUUCCAUGCCUUGGCCCAGCUGACCUGCUUCAACAAGUCUACUCAACAGUAUAACCGCCUAGGAAUAGGAAUCUGGAAUCUGCGGGAGAAACGACCAUCUUCUUUUCCUGCCCCUGUUUGAAUGAUACACAGGAGGGCCAGUGGGACUGUAGAUGGUUGAGAAACAACCGCAGGAAAAGCAGAAAAGCCAUGUCAGAAGUGGAAUAGCCCAAGAUACUGACACCAAUUCCCAAGACAUCACAACCUACCCGAAGCACCACUGCCUAUGGAUAGCAAAGGUCUGACCAUAUCACCAGGCCCUCAUGGGCUAGAAUCCCAUCCUUGAUCAUACCCCUAAUCUACCACCACUCCCUGCAACGCCUUCACCAACCCGAGAGCCUAAUACCCUCCCUGACCCAUAGCUAUCUCCUGGUUUGAGUCACCAGGUCCAAGGUAAUGCAAGAGGGUGUUGCUACGGAUGGUACUCCAAGCUUCAGGUGUGUUGAGACUAGCAAGAUAGUAGGUAAGGACAGCAUGGGGGUGGGGUGCAGUGUGUGCUGGACGAUGAAAAGCUGAGAAAACAAAGAGGAGGAUCCCACAGGCAACAGCUCUCAGAACACCUCUAUAUUCACCAUAUCCAAGAAACUUGAUGGUAUAUACAUCUCUUCAGAGGACACCAAAAUGCAAAAUCAAAAUCUUACUUCAUCUGGACCUCACCUGCUGGAAAGCUGGGGAAGGAGUUCCAUAACAUGACACUGAGGAAAAAAAAGCAAGAAAAAGCACUCUGAAGCCCAGACUUGGGGGAAGACUGCAGAUUUCUGGCUAUCAUGGUAGUGUUCACCAUCAAAACCCUCAGAUUUCAGACGAAAAGAACAAGACUGCUUCAAAUUGCCAAUCCCAGACAAACAGCUGUUAAUACUGGAUAGCCAAGGAGAAAGGUUCCUUCAGCAUCUCAUCAUGCAGUGUCCUCAGUGCACAUAAGACACCAGAGAAGAUAUGUGUGACUCUACUCAGAAAAGCUUAGUAAAGACUUGUUGGUUAAAUUGGCACAAACAAGACAGAGUAGAUUAUGAGUUCUAAACUUGGGACAUGGCUCUGUCUCCACUAGGCAAUGGGUCUGCUCUCAGUGGGGCAAGGAAGGAAUAUUUAGAGAUUUCCCCAUCCCCAUGGCUCCAGACUUCUAGGAGAAAGAUUCAGGUCAAAAAGCCUUAAACUGUGUGUCUUCAACUGAUGGUCUAUAUAAGAGGUUCAAAUUUUAAGAAACGUUUACGAAUCUCUACUAUUUACCAAGCCUUGCACUAGCCAUGCUAGACACAGUAGCUCAACACACUCACAACUCUGUGACAUCCUUUUUCUGAUCUGUAAGAUCAGAAUCAGGCAAGGUACUUCAUCCCCCCUAGACUUACUCCUACAAAUCUGGAGUCACACUGACCCUGUGGGAUUAUGGUCACACACAUCAGACGUGUGACCCUGGGACUUUCGGUUGAACUCUUGGAACCUCAGCUUUCCAUAACAGAUGGUUAUGAGGAUUAAAUGAAAGACCACAUUGAUAGAAAAAGCUUAGCAUUGGGCCUGACAUAUAAUAGAUGUUUAAUAAACACAAGUUUGUUCCUUCCCUCCCAUUCCAGAUCCGGUGUUUUUGAGAACUGUGUUACGGUCAGGUGAUGAUAACUGGGGCAUGUCUGCUGCCCUGAAUAAAUAAGAGCUUAUCUUUCUAUCUCGAGUCCACUCUAAGUGGUCAGAACUUGAGUAGCACUAAACAUAUACCUGUUGACUGACUGGCUCAUAUUGGGUGUUGUGGAAGGAGCACAUAGCACCUGGGAGCCCAGAGGCCUGGGUGGAAGCUCUGGCUCCUACCCUAGCUUGUUGAAUGGUCUUGACCUCUCUGGCCCUCAGAUUUCUCAUCUGUAAAACAAGCGGAAUAAAUCAUACAUUCUGAUUCUA
Homo sapiens (human) is the source of this 4842-nucleotide long non-coding RNA. Ensembl annotates it as ZFHX3 antisense RNA 1. Its record names the gene ZFHX3-AS1. Lineage: Eukaryota; Metazoa; Chordata; Mammalia; Primates; Hominidae. The record is from Ensembl.